GACGAACGCUGGCGGCGUGCUUAACACAUGCAAGUCGAACGGAAAGGCCCUGCUUUUGUGGGGUGCUCGAGUGGCGAACGGGUGAGUAACACGUGAGUAACCUGCCCUUUACUUUGGGAUAACUUCAGGAAACUGGGGCUAAUACCGGAUUGGAGCUCCUGCUGCAUGGUGGGGGUUGGAAAGUUUCGGCGGUUGGGGAUGGACUCGCGGCUUAUCAGCUUGUUGGUGGGGUAGUGGCUUACCAAGGCUUUGACGGGUAGCCGGCCUGAGAGGGUGACCGGCCACAUUGGGACUGAGAUACGGCCCAGACUCCUACGGGAGGCAGCAGUGGGGAAUAUUGCACAAUGGGCGGAAGCCUGAUGCAGCAACGCCGCGUGCGGGAUGACGGCCUUCGGGUUGUAAACCGCUUUCGCCUGUGACGAAGCGUGAGUGACGGUAAUGGGUAAAGAAGCACCGGCUAACUACGUG
This 468-nucleotide ribosomal RNA is filed under the name uncultured bacterium. RNAcentral describes it as "partial 16S ribosomal RNA". It matches the Rfam family "Bacterial small subunit ribosomal RNA", at positions 28 to 507 of the family's 1533-position model. The record is from RNAcentral.